GGCGAGUGAAGCGGCAACAGCUCAAAUUUGAAAUCUGGCCUCUUCGGGGUCCGAGUUGUAAUUUGUAGAGGGUGUUUCGGGCGCGAUGCCGGUCUAAGUUCCUUGGAACAGGACGUCGUAGAGGGUGAGAAUCCCGUAUGCGACCGGCGAUCAAGCCCAUGUGAAGCCCCUUCGACGAGUCGAGUUGUUUGGGAAUGCAGCUCCAAAUGGGUGGUAAAUUUCAUCUAAAGCUAAAUAUUGGCCAGAGACCGAUAGCGGACAAGUAGAGUGAUCGAAAGAUGAAAAGCACUUUGGAAAGAGAGUCAAACAGUACGUGAAAUUGUUGAAAGGGAAGCGCUUGCAAUCAGACCGGUCCGGAGGCGAUCAGCCGCUGCUCGUUCAGCGGUGCACUCGCCUGCGAUCCGGCCAGCAUCGGUUUGGGCGGCGGGAUAAAAGGCCCGGGAAUGUAGCUUCUCUCGGGGAGUCUUAUAGCCCGGGUCGCAAUGCCGCCCGCCUGGACCGAGGACCGCGCUU
RNAcentral lists this ribosomal RNA (513 nucleotides) under Sticta sp. 6 HL-2020. Its description in RNAcentral is "partial large subunit ribosomal RNA". It matches the Rfam family "Eukaryotic large subunit ribosomal RNA", at positions 88 to 602 of the family's 3401-position model. The record is from RNAcentral. Lineage: Eukaryota; Fungi; Ascomycota; Lecanoromycetes; Peltigerales; Lobariaceae.